GACGAACGCUGGCGGCGUGCUUAACACAUGCAAGUCGAACGAGACGAUUUAGAAGCUUGCUUUUAUUGAGUCGAGUGGCAAACGGGUGAGUAACGCGUAGACAACCUGCCGCAAAGAUGGGGACAACAGUCCGAAAGGACUGCUAAUACCGAAUGUUGUAUCUCCUCGCAUGGAAGAGAUAUUAAAGAUGGCCUCUACUUGUAAGCUAUCGCUUUGCGAUGGGUCUGCGUCUGAUUAGCUAGUUGGUGGGGCAAACGGCCUACCAAGGCGACGAUCAGUAGCCGGUCUGAGAGGAUGAACGGCCACAUUGGAACUGAGACACGGUCCAGACU
This 332-nucleotide ribosomal RNA is filed under the name uncultured bacterium. RNAcentral describes it as "bacterial SSU rRNA". It matches the Rfam family "Bacterial small subunit ribosomal RNA", at positions 28 to 337 of the family's 1533-position model. The record is from RNAcentral.